UGCGUAGGCGGCUUUGCAAGUCAGAUGUGAAAUCUAUGGGCUCAACCCAUAAACUGCAUUUGAAACUGUAGAGCUUGAGUGAAGUAGAGGCAGGCGGAAUUCCCCGUGUAGCGGUGAAAUGCGUAGAGAUGGGGAGGAACACCAGUGGCGAAGGCGGCCUGCUGGGCUUUAACUGACGCUGAGGCACGAAAGCGUGGGUAGCAAACA
Molecule: ribosomal RNA, 207 nt
Filed under: uncultured bacterium
Lineage: Bacteria
Description: partial 16S ribosomal RNA
Rfam family: Bacterial small subunit ribosomal RNA
Source: RNAcentral